This 1599-nucleotide ribosomal RNA is filed under the name Salmonella enterica. Its description in RNAcentral is "partial 23S ribosomal RNA". It matches the Rfam family "Bacterial large subunit ribosomal RNA", at positions 1292 to 2869 of the family's 2925-position model. Lineage: Bacteria; Pseudomonadati; Pseudomonadota; Gammaproteobacteria; Enterobacterales; Enterobacteriaceae. The record is from RNAcentral. RNAcentral also lists the same sequence under 1 other name.
GAAUGCUGACAUAAGUAACGAUAAAGCGGGUGAAAAGCCCGCUCGCCGGAAGACCAAGGGUUCCUGUCCAACGUUAAUCGGGGCAGGGUGAGUCGACCCCUAAGGCGAGGCCGAAAGGCGUAGUCGAUGGGAAACGGGUUAAUAUUCCCGUACUUGGUGUUACUGCGAAGGGGGGACGGAGAAGGCUAUGUUGGCCGGGCGACGGUUGUCCCGGUUUAAGCGUGUAGGUGUGUGUUCCAGGUAAAUCCGGUUCACUUUAACACUGAGGCGUGACGACGAGGCACUACGGUGCUGAAGCAACAAAUGCCCUGCUUCCAGGAAAAGCCUCUAAGCAUCAGGUAACAUCAAAUCGUACCCCAAACCGACACAGGUGGUCAGGUAGAGAAUACCAAGGCGCUUGAGAGAACUCGGGUGAAGGAACUAGGCAAAAUGGUGCCGUAACUUCGGGAGAAGGCACGCUGACACGUAGGUGAAGUGAUUUACUCAUGGAGCUGAAGUCAGUCGAAGAUACCAGCUGGCUGCAACUGUUUAUUAAAAACACAGCACUGUGCAAACACGAAAGUGGACGUAUACGGUGUGACGCCUGCCCGGUGCCGGAAGGUUAAUUGAUGGGGUCAGCGCAAGCGAAGCUCCUGAUCGAAGCCCCGGUAAACGGCGGCCGUAACUAUAACGGUCCUAAGGUAGCGAAAUUCCUUGUCGGGUAAGUUCCGACCUGCACGAAUGGCGUAAUGAUGGCCAGGCUGUCUCCACCCGAGACUCAGUGAAAUUGAACUCGCUGUGAAGAUGCAGUGUACCCGCGGCAAGACGGAAAGACCCCGUGAACCUUUACUAUAGCUUGACACUGAACAUUGAGCCUUGAUGUGUAGGAUAGGUGGGAGGCUUUGAAGUGUGGACGCCAGUCUGCAUGGAGCCGACCUUGAAAUACCACCCUUUAAUGUUUGAUGUUCUAACGUGGACCCGUUACCCGGGUUGCGGACAGUGUCUGGUGGGUAGUUUGACUGGGGCGGUCUCCUCCUAAAGAGUAACGGAGGAGCACGAAGGUUGGCUAAUCCUGGUCGGACAUCAGGAGGUUAGUGCAAUGGCAUAAGCCAGCUUGACUGCGAGCGUGACGGCGCGAGCAGGUGCGAAAGCAGGUCAUAGUGAUCCGGUGGUUCUGAAUGGAAGGGCCAUCGCUCAACGGAUAAAAGGUACUCCGGGGAUAACAGGCUGAUACCGCCCAAGAGUUCAUAUCGACGGCGGUGUUUGGCACCUCGAUGUCGGCUCAUCACAUCCUGGGGCUGAAGUAGGUCCCAAGGGUAUGGCUGUUCGCCAUUUAAAGUGGUACGCGAGCUGGGUUUAGAACGUCGUGAGACAGUUCGGUCCCUAUCUGCCGUGGGCGCUGGAGAACUGAGGGGGGCUGCUCCUAGUACGAGAGGACCGGAGUGGACGCAUCACUGGUGUUCGGGUUGUCAUGCCAAUGGCACUGCCCGGUAGCUAAAUGCGGAAGAGAUAAGUGCUGAAAGCAUCUAAGCACGAAACUUGCCCCGAGAUGAGUUCUCCCUGAGACUUAAAGUCUCCUGAAGGAACGUUGAAGACGACGACGUUGAUAGGCCGGGUGUG